Molecule: ribosomal RNA, 580 nt
Filed under: uncultured bacterium
Lineage: Bacteria
Description: bacterial SSU rRNA
Rfam family: Bacterial small subunit ribosomal RNA
Source: RNAcentral
UCCUACGGGAGGCAGCAGUAAGGAAUAUUGGUCAAUGGGCGGAAGCCUGAACCAGCCAUGCCGCGUGCAGGAAGACUGCCCUAUGGGUUGUAAACUGCUUUUGCCAGGGAAUAAAUGUACCGAUGUAUCGGUAUUUGAGUGUACUUGGAGAAUAAGGAUCGGCUAACUCCGUGCCAGCAGCCGCGGUAAUACGGAGGAUCCAAGCGUUAUCCGGAAUUAUUGGGUUUAAAGGGUGCGUAGGCGGCAUGCUAAGUCAGGGGUGAAAGACGGUGGCUCAACCAUCGCAGUGCCUUUGAUACUGGUGUGCUUGAAUGUACAUGAGGUAGGCGGAAUGAGACAAGUAGCGGUGAAAUGCAUAGAUAUGUCUCAGAACACCAAUUGCGAAGGCAGCUUACUAAGGUAUGAUUGACGCUGAUGCACGAAAGCGUGGGGAUCAAACAGGAUUAGAUACCCUGGUAGUCCACGCCCUAAACGAUGAUAACUCGAUGUUAGCGAUAUACAGUUAGCGUCCAAGCGAAAGCGUUAAGUUAUCCACCUGGGGAGUACGCCCGCAAGGGUGAAACUCAAAUGAAUUGACGGA